UCCGUAGGUGAACCUGCGGAAGGAUCAUUAUUGAAACAUUGUGAAGGAGGUUGAGCUGGCUCUUUAAGUGCAUAUGUGCUCGCCUUCUUUCAAUCUUCAUCCACCUGUGCACAUGUUGUAGGGGAAUUUGGAACUGGUGUAAAAGCCUUAGUACAAGUUUCUCUAUGUUUUUACACACUCUAUUGUAUGUCUUUGAAUGUAUGUUUAUUGGGACUUAAUUGACCCUUUAUAAAAACUAUACAACUUUCAGCAACGGAUCUCUUGGCUCUCGCAUCGAUGAAGAACGCAGCGAAAUGCGAUAAGUAAUGUGAAUUGCAGAAUUCAGUGAAUCAUCGAAUCUUUGAACGCACCUUGCGCCCCUUGGUAUUCCGAGGGGCAUGCCUGUUUGAGUGUCAUUAAAUUCUCAACCUUAAAAACUUUUUUGUUUCUGAGGCUUGGAUGUGGAGGUUUGCUGGCUUAUAACAGAGUCGGCUCCUCUUAAAUGCAUUAGUGGAAGACUACUUGUGUGGACCACAUUGGUGUGAUAAUUAUCUACACCAUUGUUUGUGUUCCAUGGGCUCAUUCAUAUAAAAGCAUCUCGAAUGUAAUCUCUUUUACAUUUCGGUUUUGAAAGUUGCAUUGACUUGCUCUUUCUGGCUUGAUUGAGUUUUAGACAUCUGCUUCAAACUGUCCUAAGUUACUGGACAAAAUCUAUUUGACUUGUUUGACCUCAAAUCAGGUAGGACUACCCGCUGAACUUAAGCAUAUCAAUAAGCGGAGGA
Molecule: ribosomal RNA, 761 nt
Filed under: Crinipellis sp. GDGM 43024
Lineage: Eukaryota; Fungi; Basidiomycota; Agaricomycetes; Agaricales; Marasmiaceae
Description: eukaryotic LSU rRNA
Rfam family: 5.8S ribosomal RNA (bases 242-395)
Source: RNAcentral